GAUGAACGCUGGCGGCGUGCCUAAUACAUGCGAGUCGAGCGAACGGACGAGAAGCUUGCUUUUCUGAUGUUAGCGGCGGACGGGUGAGUAACACGUGGAUAACCUACCUAUAAGACUGGGAUAACUUCGGGAAACCGGAGCUAAUACCGGAUAAUAUUUUGAACCGCAUGGUUCAAAAGUGAAAGACGGUCUUGCUGUCACUUAUAGAUGGAUCCGCGCUGCAUUAGCUAGUUGGUAAGGUAACGGCUUACCAAGGCAACGAUGCAUAGCCGACCUGAGAGGGUGAUCGGCCACACUGGAACUGAGACACGGUCCAGACUCCUACGGGAGGCAGCAGUAGGGAAUCUUCCGCAAUGGGCGAAAGCCUGACGGAGCAACGCCGCGUGAGUGAUGAAGGUCUUCGGAUCGUAAAACUCUGUUAUUAGGGAAGAACAGAUGUGUAAGUAACUGUGCACAUCUUGACGGUACCUAAGCAGAAAGCCACGGCUAACUACGU
RNAcentral lists this ribosomal RNA (496 nucleotides) under uncultured bacterium. RNAcentral's name for it is "partial 16S ribosomal RNA". It matches the Rfam family "Bacterial small subunit ribosomal RNA", at positions 28 to 506 of the family's 1533-position model. The record is from RNAcentral.